This is a non-coding RNA of Microcebus murinus (gray mouse lemur), 350 nucleotides long. NCBI's taxonomy places the organism in Eukaryota, Metazoa, Chordata, Mammalia, Primates, Cheirogaleidae. The record is from RefSeq and is a predicted model, not a curated record.
UGAAGAAAUUCGAAGACCAGCAGAACAAAAGUCACACUUGUUGCCUGGAAGAGAAAUAUACAUUUGUUUGUAAGCAGCCUGCAGGUAAUAAAGCCAUUAAAGUGAAAGCAGCCCAUUGGCAGGAUGGGUAUCAGUCGAAAAGAGAAGAGGGUAUCACCUCCAAGAGGAGAUGCCUGGGAGAGAAAGAGAGAGAUCGCUUUGUCUAAAACCCUUGCAAAAAUGCUAAUGGAAGUAGGAGAGUCUUAAUCUGUGGAAUGCUUCUGCAGAUUAAAUUCUAACCAUGGAGGAUGUAUCGGCUGAGGAUUGUUGGCCAAAUUAACUGUCACGACAGAUUUCAGAUGGGACUUGAG